RNAcentral lists this non-coding RNA (229 nucleotides) under Intestinibacter bartlettii. RNAcentral's name for it is "Clostridium bartlettii T-box sequence". It matches the Rfam family "T-box leader". From Rfam's summary of the family: Uncharged tRNA acts as the effector for transcription antitermination of genes in the T-box leader family. T-boxes are found upstream of many aminoacyl-tRNA synthetase genes and some amino acid biosynthetic genes usually in Gram-positive bacteria. Lineage: Bacteria; Bacillati; Bacillota; Clostridia; Peptostreptococcales; Peptostreptococcaceae. The record is from RNAcentral.
AAAAAGACUGAGAAAAAGAGGAGUACGUAAAUACUGCUAACAGAGAGGAAAAUCAAUUGCUGAAAGAUUUUUCUAGAUAAGAUUUAUGGAAAGUAGCUUUGGAGUUGCUAAACUGAAAUAGUAGUAAGUUUAGACGGUGAGAAUCGUUAAAUCUAUUGAGAGUUAAGAUAUAAUUUUAAUACAAUAUAUCUUAAAAUUAAGGUGGUAACGCGAGCUUUUCGUCCUUAGA